Molecule: ribosomal RNA, 504 nt
Filed under: Pseudomonas sp.
Lineage: Bacteria; Pseudomonadati; Pseudomonadota; Gammaproteobacteria; Pseudomonadales; Pseudomonadaceae
Also listed under: 1 other name
Description: bacterial SSU rRNA
Rfam family: Bacterial small subunit ribosomal RNA
Source: RNAcentral
GGUGGGGUAACGGCUCACCUAGGCGACGAUCCCUAGCUGGUCUGAGAGGAUGACCAGCCACACUGGAACUGAGACACGGUCCAGACUCCUACGGGAGGCAGCAGUGGGGAAUAUUGCACAAUGGGCGCAAGCCUGAUGCAGCCAUGCCGCGUGUAUGAAGAAGGCCUUCGGGUUGUAAAGUACUUUCAGCGGGGAGGAAGGGAGUAAAGUUAAUACCUUUGCUCAUUGACGUUACCCGCAGAAGAAGCACCGGCUAACUCCGUGCCAGCAGCCGCGGUAAUACGGAGGGUGCAAGCGUUAAUCGGAAUUACUGGGCGUAAAGCGCACGCAGGCGGUUUGUUAAGUCAGAUGUGAAAUCCCCGGGCUCAACCUGGGAACUGCAUCUGAUACUGGCAAGCUUGAGUCUCGUAGAGGGGGGUAGAAUUCCAGGUGUAGCGGUGAAAUGCGUAGAGAUCUGGAGGAAUACCGGUGGCGAAGGCGGCCCCCUGACGAAGACUACGUCAG